Long non-coding RNA from Sapajus apella (tufted capuchin), 620 nucleotides. RefSeq lists it as uncharacterized. The transcript has 2 exons. The record is from RefSeq and is a predicted model, not a curated record. NCBI's taxonomy places the organism in Eukaryota, Metazoa, Chordata, Mammalia, Primates, Cebidae.
AGGUGUCACUGGACGCCCUCCAACACUGGAAGGGGUCACUUUUGAGGAUUAGAGAGAACAUAAAAAUUAUCUUUUUUGACUUAAAAAGUAUGGCUCUGGGAGGGGAUAGAGGGAAGGCAAUAAGGGUUACCAUGACUUUUCUCUGAACAACACAGGGAUCAACUCAACCAGCUCGCCACCUUCUUCCUGUCAGCAGCCACCAACGUGCUGGAAGUCAGGUCUGUCAUUGCACUCUGCUGAUUCCAGAAGCUAGGAAUCCAUGCCAGCCUUAUUAUUUAGAAAACCGCCCGAUAGGGGCAUCCUGCAGAUGACAGACUGGAUCUGCAUCUAAAAUAACAGGAGUAGAUUGCAGAUUGAUUCAUGGGAUCCAGCGCUGAGCAGCCCAAACUCCAUCUUUCCAAGUUCCAUCUCCGAACUCCUGUCAGUCUCAAAAUUGAUAGAACAGCCUGAAGCCAUUGCACAGAGUUAUGUCGGCAAUCACCUUUCUCAUUCUCUCAUAUGGGUGCCAAUACGUCAAGAGGACCCAGGCAAGGGAACAACAAGGUGGCUUUAUUUAGCAUUAUGACAAGCAAAUACUUGAAUACCAAAAAGCACAUGAGCUUUACAGCAGCAGGGAAAAA